Vidua chalybeata is the source of this 447-nucleotide long non-coding RNA. RefSeq lists it as uncharacterized. The transcript has 3 exons. Lineage: Eukaryota; Metazoa; Chordata; Aves; Passeriformes; Viduidae. The record is from RefSeq and is a predicted model, not a curated record.
UUUUUAGAAUGGGAAUGCUGUAGGGACACCAGAGCAGAAAUGGAAAUUAGAAGAGGAAACCAGAUCACAGAGGUGCAAAAAGAGAACUAUGAAUGUGUUAUAAACCCAGAACAACAGAAGUUUUUGGUCAUACCCAAAGAAAGCAUUUCAAUGGAUGUCUCUCAGUAAAAAAGGAGUGGCCAUCUUGACUUCAGAAAUAUCAUGCUGAUUUCCUACCCUUGAAAAAAUCAGAAUGCUUAAAUCUGACAGCAACGAAUUGUUUGUAAAGAUGCAAUUAAGGUUCAAAGCCAGCUGUAGCCAAAAUAUUGCAGUGUAUAUGUUUAUAGGAAUUUUCUGCAUGAUUUUAUCAGUUGAGCCUGUAGUAUUUCCAGUUUUAUUGUUACCUGAGAAAUCUAUUUCCAGUAUAGUUUGCUCAUGACAGUGCUCACCCAUUGUAAGCACAUAAGA